This is a long non-coding RNA of Eriocheir sinensis (Chinese mitten crab), 2194 nucleotides long. RefSeq lists it as uncharacterized. The transcript has 2 exons. The record is from RefSeq and is a predicted model, not a curated record. Lineage: Eukaryota; Metazoa; Arthropoda; Malacostraca; Decapoda; Varunidae.
UAGAGGAAGUUUUCGGAUGUUCUAUGCGCGUUCCCGAGGCCCUUCGACUUUCCAUCCCAGAAACGAUAAACGCGGUUAGCAGCGCAUUCACAGCAUUUAAAAUUAAUUUCAUAAUCCAGUCUGGUAGUUUUAAGCGAGUUCUUGCAUUCGCCCUCUUCUAGCCUCGGCGGGGAUAAGGAGCGCCAGCGAGCCCAAGGUGUCCCUGGCGAGCGUGGCAGUACUGGAGGGCUCCCCGAAGAGCACUUUGGUGUUCCCCGGGGCGUCCGCGAAGGUACUGGAGAUCUGCACGGGUAGAUGGGGCUCGUAAGCCGUGGUAGGCAGUCCAUCUAGGAGAGCAAACUCCGAACAAUAUACCCGGGCAGGUGAGGCUCGUUAGCCGUGGUAGGCAAUUCGCCUAGGAGAGCAAACUCCGAACAAUAAACCCGGGCAGGUGGAGGUCGUUAGCGUGAGCAGUUCACCUAGGAGAGCAAACUCCGAUCACAAACCCGGGCAGGUGGAGGUCGUUAGCGUGAGCAGUUCACCUAGGAGAAAGAAAACUCUGACUAUAAACACGGGCAGGUGGAGAUCGUUAGCCGUGGUAGGCAAUCUGCCUAGGAGAGCAAACUCCGAACAUCAAACCCGGGCAGGUGGAGCUCGUUAGCCGUGGUAGGUAGUCUGCCUAGAAGAGGGACAACUCCGAACAACAAACCCGGGCAGGUGGAGCUCGUUAGCCGUCAUAGGCAAUACACCUAGGAGAGCAAACUCCGAACAAUAAACCCGGGCAGGUUGGGCUCGUGAGCCGUCAUAGGCAAUACACCUAGGAGAGCAAACUCCGAACAAUAAACCCGGGCAGGUGGAGCUCGUUAGCCGUGGUAGGCAAUUCACCUAGGAGAGGGACAACUCCGAACAACAAACACGGGCAGGUGAAGGUCGUUAGCCGUGGUAGGCAAUUCGCCUAGGAGAGGGACAACUCCAAUUACAAACCCGGGCAGGUGGAGGUCGUUAGCCGUGGUAGGCAAUCUGUCUAGGAGAGGGACAACUCCGAACAACAAACACGGACUGGUGGAGGUCGUUAGCGUGAGCAGUUCACCUAGGAGAGCAAACUCCGAUUACAAACCCGGGCUGGUGGAGGUCGUUAGCGUAAGCAAUUCACCUAGGAGAGCAAACUCCGAUUACAAACCCGGGCAGGUGGAGCUCGUUAGCGUGAGCAGUUCACCUAGGAGAGCAAACUCCGAACAACAAACCCGGGCAGGUGGAGCUCGUUAGCGUAAGCAAUUCGCCUAGGAGAGCAAACUCCGAUUUCAAACCCGGGCAGGUGGAGCUCGUUAGCGUGAGCAGUUCACCUAGGAGAGCAAACUCCGAUUACAAAACCGGGCUGGUGGAGGUCGUUAGCGUAAGCAGUUCACCUAGGAGAGCAAACUUCGAUUACAAAACCGGGCUGGUGGAGGUCGUUAGCGUAAGGCAGUUCACCUAGGAGAAGGACAACUCUGAUCACAAACCCGGGACGGUGGAGAUCGUUAGCGUGAUGCAGUUCAUCUAGGAGAAGGAUAACUCUGACCACAAACCCGGGCAGGAGGGGGUCGUUAGCCGUGGUAGGCAGUCCUCCUAGGAGAAGGAAAACUCCGAAUUCAAACCAACAAACCACACACACACACACACACAACCAACUAACCGGGCAGGUGGAGCUCGUUAUAGGCGUCGUAGACAAUCCACCAUUCGGAAUCAACAAAUAAAAGGAUAAUAAAAGCGAACACACGAGAAGAAGAAUAUAAAAUUAAAACCGGACAAAAAAGGAUAAUAUAAGAUGGAACACCGAAUAAAGGAUAGUUAAGAAAACAACAUCGAGAAAAGCAUAAGAUGCACACGGACACGGACUGAAACAGAAGACCAAAAAAUGGAUGGUAUAAAAGGAGCGGAAAAAGAUAACGUAAGAAGAACGCACAGAAAAUAACGUAGAAAUAAAACACCAAGAAAAGGAAAAUAAGGAAAAUAUAGAAACAACAUCAAUGAUACCGCCGCUCCGUGGGCUCCGUGGGCGGUAGAAGAAUGAAAUGACCCUUUUCGUAGACGCACAAUAUAAUGUGGUCAAACCAGUCAACAAUAACAUUUACCGCCAGGAUCACAAUCAUGACACUCGAAAACGCCCGUGUCUCUGAGCACUAAACCGGGCAGCUGAGCACUUCACUUAACAUCUAACGUUCAGCAUUGUAUCUUA